Molecule: ribosomal RNA, 440 nt
Filed under: uncultured bacterium
Lineage: Bacteria
Description: partial 16S ribosomal RNA
Rfam family: Bacterial small subunit ribosomal RNA
Source: RNAcentral
CCUACGGGAGGCUGCAGUGGGGAAUAUUGCACAAUGGGGGAAACCCUGAUGCAGCAACGCCGCGUGAAGGAAGACGGUUUUCGGAUUGUAAACUUCUGUUCUUAGUGAAGAAGAAUGACGGUAGCUAAGGAGCAAGCCACGGCUAACUACGUGCCAGCAGCCGCGGUAAUACGGAGGAUGCGAGCGUUAUCCGGAUUUAUUGGGUUAAAAGGGUGCGUAGGCGGAAUAUCAAGUCAGCGGUAAAAAUUCGGGGCUCAACCCCGUCGUGCCGUUGAAACUGAUGUUCUUGAGUGGGCGAGAAGUAUGCGGAAUGCGUGGUGUAGCGGUGAAAUGCAUAGAUAUCACGCAGAACUCCGAUUGCGAAGGCAGCAUACCGGCGCCCAACUGACGCUGAAGCACGAAAGCGUGGGUAUCGAACAGGAUUAGAUACCCGAGUAGUC